AUAGCAUUAUAAUGUUAAGUUGGUAUUCCAUAGGAAACCUGUCCCAUUUGCAUUAGCAAUUCCUUCUUUAAAAAGAAAAUAAAUCCUUUCAGAUCACAGGGUUCGAUGUUGAGAACCUGGCAGUAGAUGUGGGCUUUUGGUUCAAAGCUAGCACCAAACGCAAGAACAUAUUGGAUGAAUUCUGUACGUUUUGUGACACAAGCUACAUGGAGACACUGCUGCAUGUGAGCACAAGAUGGAUUAGUUUGGAUAUGGUGGUCAGUCGGAUUCUACGUCUCUAUAAGGCACUCAAGAGUUAUUUUGGAAGCAUCCGUAAGUAUAAGCCUAGUCUUGAUUUUGAAGCCUAUUUGAUGUAUCCAUCUAAUGUAACAAGGUAUCAGUUUUUCGCUUGUCACAAGUUCACACAGUGUCAAGGAAUAUGAAAAUGUUUCAAAAUUAUAAUUUAUUUGUUUUGCUGUGCGUCAAUCGUUCCAGGACCCAAUGACGGAGAUCCAUCUCUUGUUCUACCAGUCGACACUGAUAACUUUCACACAUUUUAACCUGCUAUUCCAGCGGCAAGACCCUUGUGUCUAUCUACUUCAUGAACAAAUCAGGUUGUUCGUCAAGAAACUCCUGUCCAAAUUCCUGAAGCCAGGAGCUUUUAGAGGUGUCAAUGUGGACACAGUGGACCUCAGGGAUGAGGAGAGCCAAUUGCCAGGUAAAUAUUAGGAGUGACAAAAACAAUGGUUUUAUAUAAUCUUUGCAUUGUCUGCAGGUCUUCUGUUACUCUAAGCACUAAAUUAUCCAUACAUACCUUUUUAGAUUCUCAGCUUGGUGUGGGCUUCACAACGAGGACGUUAAACUGCCUUGUGGAAGCAGGUGAUGUCUCCAUGGACUCAGCUAAAAACUUCCAUCUCGCAGCCAGGAGCUUUUUUGUGAAGGCAGUCGAGUACGCCACAGCUAAGCUCCCUUUACAUGACCCUGUGCUGGAGCAUUCAAGGUUCGUGGACUUCAGACAAAAAAUGGAUACCACCUUGGAUGAUGUGCUCUACUUUGUUCAUAGGACCAGCUGAAUGAUGAGUUCCUAGAGUUUCAGAUGAUGGAGGAGGAAGAUAUACCUGCAUCCAUCUAGGGGGACGCGGUCAUCAGGACAAAUGAGGAUGGGGAGUACCACAGGAUGGCCCACCUAUGGGUAUAUCUGGGAAAUCUUAAGAAUCGGGCAAGUGGCACUUUUAAAUUCCCGAAAUUAUUCAAGGUGGCCCAGAUUGUGUUGAGCAUGCCUCACUCAAAUGCGGAUGCUGAGCGAACAUUUUCACUGAUUGGCCUAACCAAGACUGACACCAGGAACAGACUGUCCCUUGAAGGCACCCUGUCAUCAAUCAUGACUAUGAAAAUGAGCAGCCUUGAACCCUGCUACAGAUACGAACCUCCUGCAGAGGUUGUGAAGCAGGCCAAAACUGCCACUGUGGCAUACAACCUAAUAUCUAACUUCUAGCCUCUGCUGAGGAGUGUACACACACACACACACACACACACACACACACACACACACACACACACACACACACACACACACACACACACACACACACACACACACACACACACACACACAGUGGCGGUUUUAGGCACGGGCGAACCAGGCAGCCGCCCGGGGCGGCAUAUUUGUGGGGGGCGCCAAGUCACAUGGGGGGCGCCACGAGCAGUAAAAAAGAAAUCGUGCUGCGUAGCGGUUAUCAAGUACUACAUAACAUUGUGUUGGGAAUAGGUAUUUUGCGCCCCCUCUGGCUGCAGGCGCACACCUGCUCGUUGAGAAGGUGCCGUGCGCAGACGGAAUGAAACCCCCACUGAAGCCCCCCCCCCCCCAUCCGCUUGAAGAUAGUCUUGCACACACACACACACACACACACACACACACACACACACACACACACCCCCCCACAGCCAGCCAGCUCUGGGGAGCUGGGGUAACUAUUGUGCCCUUUUUUGUUUUUGAAAUUUCUAUCUUUAUUCGAGAUGCAUGUCUUUAUUUUGUAAUGG
Molecule: long non-coding RNA, 2019 nt
Organism: Gadus morhua (Atlantic cod)
Lineage: Eukaryota; Metazoa; Chordata; Actinopteri; Gadiformes; Gadidae
Source: Ensembl